Molecule: non-coding RNA, 83 nt
Organism: Dermochelys coriacea (leatherback sea turtle)
Lineage: Eukaryota; Metazoa; Chordata; Testudines; Dermochelyidae
Source: the annotation of a RefSeq genome assembly
ACCAGAAUGGCUGAGUGGUUAAGGCGUUGGACUCAAGUCCCAGUAGGCAUGAGCCUGCGUGGGUUCGAGUCCCGCUUCUGAUA